GACAGAGGCCCCAAGCGUUAGGCGGAAUCACUGGGCUUAAAGCGUGUGUAGGCGGAUCGUUAAGUGUCUUGUGAAAUCCCACGGCUCACCCGCGGAACUGCUGGGCAUACUGGCGAUCUUGGGCCAACUAGGGGCAGUCGGAACAAGCGGUGGAGCGGUGAAAUGCGUAGAUAUCGCUUGGAACGCCGAAGGUGAAAACAGGUUGCUGGGGGUGUGCUGACGCUGAGACACGAAAGCCAGGGGAGCGAACGGG
This 253-nucleotide ribosomal RNA is filed under the name uncultured bacterium. RNAcentral's name for it is "partial 16S ribosomal RNA". It matches the Rfam family "Bacterial small subunit ribosomal RNA", at positions 524 to 776 of the family's 1533-position model. The record is from RNAcentral.